UACGGAGGAUCCGAGCGUUAUCCGGAUUUAUUGGGUUUAAAGGGUGCGCAGGUUGUUUGAUAAGUCAGUGGUGAAAGUCUGUCGCUUAACGGUAGGAUUGCCAUUGAUACUGUUGGACUUGAAUAUGGAUGAGGUAGGCGGAAUGUGUAGUGUAGCGGUGAAAUGCAUAGAUAUCACGAGGAACUCCGAUUGCGCAGGCAGCUUACUAAACCAUAACUGACGCUCAGGCACGAAGGCGUGGGGAUCAAACAGGAUUA
RNAcentral lists this ribosomal RNA (257 nucleotides) under uncultured prokaryote. RNAcentral describes it as "partial 16S ribosomal RNA". It matches the Rfam family "Bacterial small subunit ribosomal RNA", at positions 524 to 780 of the family's 1533-position model. The record is from RNAcentral.